This 172-nucleotide ribosomal RNA is filed under the name uncultured Streptomyces sp. RNAcentral describes it as "partial 16S ribosomal RNA". It matches the Rfam family "Bacterial small subunit ribosomal RNA", at positions 337 to 522 of the family's 1533-position model. The record is from RNAcentral. Lineage: Bacteria; Bacillati; Actinomycetota; Actinomycetes; Kitasatosporales; Streptomycetaceae.
GCCUACGGGAGGCAGCAGUGGGGAAUCUUGCACAAUGGGGGCAACCCUGAUGCAGCGACGCCGCGUGAGCGAUGAAGCCCUUCGGGUGUAAAGCUCUUUCGGCAGGGAAGAAGCGCAAGUGACGGUACCUGCAGAAGAAGUACCGGCUAACUACGUGCCAGCAGCCGCGGUC